This 955-nucleotide ribosomal RNA is filed under the name Bacillus subtilis. Its description in RNAcentral is "bacterial SSU rRNA". It matches the Rfam family "Bacterial small subunit ribosomal RNA", at positions 30 to 970 of the family's 1533-position model. The record is from RNAcentral. Lineage: Bacteria; Bacillati; Bacillota; Bacilli; Caryophanales; Bacillaceae.
UAGGCGGUGGCGGCGUGCUAAUACAUGCAGUCGAGCGGACAGAUGGGAGCUUGCUCCCUGAUGUUAGCGGCGGACGGGUGAGUAACACGUGGGUAACCUGCCUGUAAGACUGGGAUAACUCCGGGAAACCGGGGCUAAUACCGGAUGCUUGUUUGAACCGCAUGGUUCAAACAUAAAAGGUGGCUUCGGCUACCACUUACAGAUGGACCCGCGGCGCAUUAGCUAGUUGGUGAGGUAAUGGCUCACCAAGGCAACGAUGCGUAGCCGACCUGAGAGGGUGAUCGGCCACACUGGGACUGAGACACGGCCCAGACUCCUACGGGAGGCAGCAGUAGGGAAUCUUCCGCAAUGGACGAAAGUCUGACGGAGCAACGCCGCGUGAGUGAUGAAGGUUUUCGGAUCGUAAAGCUCUGUUGUUAGGGAAGAACAAGUACCGUUCGAAUAGGGCGGUACCUUGACGGUACCUAACCAGAAAGCCACGGCUAACUACGUGCCAGCAGCCGCGGUAAUACGUAGGUGGCAAGCGUUGUCCGGAAUUAUUGGGCGUAAAGGGCUCGCAGGCGGUUUCUUAAGUCUGAUGUGAAAGCCCCCGGCUCAACCGGGGAGGGUCAUUGGAAACUGGGGAACUUGAGUGCAGAAGAGGAGAGUGGAAUUCCACGUGUAGCGGUGAAAUGCGUAGAGAUGUGGAGGAACACCAGUGGCGAAGGCGACUCUCUGGUCUGUAACUGACGCUGAGGAGCGAAAGCGUGGGGAGCGAACAGGAUUAGAUACCCUGGUAGUCCACGCCGUAAACGAUGAGUGCUAAGUGUUAGGGGGUUUCCGCCCCUUAGUGCUGCAGCUAACGCAUUAAGCACUUCCGCCUGGGGAGUACGGUCGCAAGACUGAAACUCAAGGAUUUGACGGGGGCCCGCACAAGCGGUGGAGCAUGUGGUUUAUUCGAAGCACGCGAAGAACC